This 541-nucleotide ribosomal RNA is filed under the name Fusarium oxysporum. Its description in RNAcentral is "eukaryotic LSU rRNA". The stretch from base 189 to 342 matches the Rfam family "5.8S ribosomal RNA". Lineage: Eukaryota; Fungi; Ascomycota; Sordariomycetes; Hypocreales; Nectriaceae. The record is from RNAcentral.
UAACAAGGUCUCCGUUGGUGAACCAGCGGAGGGAUCAUUACCGAGUUUACAACUCCCAAACCCCUGUGAACAUACCACUUGUUGCCUCGGCGGAUCAGCCCGCUCCCGGUAAAACGGGACGGCCCGCCAGAGGACCCCUAAACUCUGUUUCUAUAUGUAACUUCUGAGUAAAACCAUAAAUAAAUCAAAACUUUCAACAACGGAUCUCUUGGUUCUGGCAUCGAUGAAGAACGCAGCAAAAUGCGAUAAGUAAUGUGAAUUGCAGAAUUCAGUGAAUCAUCGAAUCUUUGAACGCACAUUGCGCCCGCCAGUAUUCUGGCGGGCAUGCCUGUUCGAGCGUCAUUUCAACCCUCAAGCACAGCUUGGUGUUGGGACUCGCGUUAAUUCGCGUUCCUCAAAUUGAUUGGCGGUCACGUCGAGCUUCCAUAGCGUAGUAGUAAAACCCUCGUUACUGGUAAUCGUCGCGGCCACGCCGUUAAACCCCAACUUCUGAAUGUUGACCUCGGAUCAGGUAGGAAUACCCGCUGAACUUAAGCAUAUC